GGCCGUUCUUAGUUCGUGGAGUGAUCUGUCUGCUUAAUUGCGUUUCACUAAGGGCCCAUAAAUUCAAGGUAUGUUAGCUAUCGUUUCUCAAUUGACCCCUUGUCUUCGAUAAGCGCGUGUCUUUUAGAGUUUAAACAUUGCGCAUGCUGUUGGGUCCUGAAAGCAACGAACGUGACCGCAACGUCUUAUUGCCUUUAUCUUGCUAUAUUUUAAUUUAAUUAAAAAUAGCUAACAGAGGCUAAUUUAAAAUUAGACGGACCGCUGUACUUUUCUUAAACCAGAGGAAGGUUGCGGCAAUAACAGGUCUGUGAUGCCCUUAGAUGUUCCGGGCUGCACACGUGCUACAAUGAUCAGUACAGUGAGCAUCUCAAUAUUAUACACCGUAUUAAGCGCUUAGUUGCGAUUAUUGGCUCAUUAUUGGGUCUUUUAAUUGUAUUUCUAAUGCGCGCGGUAAAGCCUGCUUCGAGAGUAAGUGGGUAAUCCAUUGGAAGUAAUGAUUUCUCUUUUUAUAGCACACCUAUAUACGGCAUUCAUUCCCGGGACGACUAGUUUCGUCUUUUUUGUGCGAAUGUAAUGUAUUCUUUAUCCGUAUGUGCGAUUGUCAA
This 605-nucleotide ribosomal RNA is filed under the name Neogloboquadrina dutertrei. RNAcentral describes it as "SSU rRNA". The stretch from base 1 to 451 matches the Rfam family "Eukaryotic small subunit ribosomal RNA", at positions 1286 to 1608 of the family's 1831-position model. The record is from RNAcentral. Lineage: Eukaryota; Foraminifera; Rotaliida; Globorotaliidae.